Molecule: long non-coding RNA, 2108 nt
Organism: Tympanuchus pallidicinctus (lesser prairie-chicken)
Lineage: Eukaryota; Metazoa; Chordata; Aves; Galliformes; Phasianidae
Exons: 3
Source: RefSeq, a predicted model, not a curated record
UCCAUCACUUCUUUCUAACUUUAAGUUACCACUUUGCUGCUCUUCAGGCAGGGAAAGAAUUGGGAAUGUUUUCAAUGAAUUUCAAGGGUUAAAAACGUUACUGAAUUUUUUCUGUUUCUGGUCAAGAACUUUUCAGAUGCAAAAUGACAUAAAUGAGGAACACUUCACAGGAACAUAUGAUGACACAAACCUGACCAACAAAUGCAAGGAAAGGCUGCAGUGUGAGCCCAGCCUGGUCAAUUGCUUUAACUGACAGAUGUACAGGUUGCACACAGUCAUACAUAUGGUUUUGCAGAACAGGCAGGAGAAUAGUAAGGAGCCCUAAGUGCAAAGGAAACUGACGAAGAGAACUAUGAAUAGCCUCUGUUAGGACCAGGACAGAUAUGUAUAAUUGGGGCUGACAGAAAGAAUUAAAUUUUGAGGAGAAAGGAAAAUCAAGAUGUUACCAUAUUGAAGCUAAACUAGUGCUUGGGUCCACAGAGUGAGAGCUGGUAAAAGCACAACUCAAAAAAAAAAGCACCACAGACCUGUUUAUCGUACUUGUUUAGGGUUGAGGCUAUUAGAACAAUUUGUUUCGACUUUGUUUUAUGUAAAUAAUGUAUUAACUAAGAAAAUCAGUAUUCUGACACGUAUAAUUUAUGAAAAUACUGAAGAGUUGGAAAUAUAAAUAGGAAUGCCAUAUAGAAAGCUUCUCAAAUAUCUAAAUGCCACUGAGUUUUCUUGAGAGGGUCCAGUUUAUUUGCCAGUAAUAACCAGUUCCUAAAGAUUCAGCCUCCGGGUAAAAGCUCUCUGCUUGAGAGCUGGCUUCAAAGAAGCUUUGCUUGUCCCCAGUGCCCAUUUAAUGCUUGGGAAAUAUAUUCUGUUAUUUCAGAAUACACUGCAUACAUUCAUGGAUUCAUUUUGUCACCAAUGCCACAUGGUGUGUCACACCUUUGUCCAGUUGUGAUUAUGUGAGACUGCACAGUGCUCAUCCACAGCCCGCACUGAGCUCUUAAAACUUACUUUUGAUAUUUCAAGAAAAGGUCCCUCCCUACUCAGUCUCCUACAGAUUUCAUAAUUUUAUGGAUUCUCCUUGUUCUGAGCACAGGAUCAGGAGGAAGAUCCUUCUCUUUUGGAACUGUUUUGCCCCAUGUUCUUCAGGUUUCUCAUUCAAUUUCUUCUGGGUUUUCCCACUAUUUGCAGUGCUGGUGCCAGAUCGUGCACCUGCAGCUUUGGCACUACUGCAUUUUCAUCCGGAGAGUGUGUUCCUUAGUGUUCUGUGAAAACCAAGAGCACUUUAAAACAUCUUUAAAAGAGCUUUCGUAAGACAAUAGGAAUCUGCUCUUGUGAAAAGCAAAGGAGGCCAGCAACACAUGGGGAUAUGUUAGGAGAAGUGAGUGCAAACCCCUCAGUCCUGGUGAAGCUGUCCUGCAGAACGACGUCCAGUUCUGGGCUCUGCAGCACAAGAGGAGCAGGGAGCUUCCAUGGAAAAUGCAACCAAAUGACACAAAGAUGGGGAGGCAUCUCAACUCUCAAGCAUUUCCUUCUAUGAGGAAAGACUGGGAGAGCUGGAACUGUCCAGCCAGCAGAAGAGAAGGCUAAUGGGGCAUUUCAUCAAUGUAUAUGAAUACCUGAGGGGAGGCUGAGAAGAAAACAAGGGCUUCUUAGUGGUACCAUUGGUGGAACACAAGGCAAUAGCUGCUCACAUUGCUGAGAGAGGUUGUGGAGUCUUCGUCUCUGGAGAUAUCCAAAACCCAACUGGACCUGACCCUGACCAACCUGCUAAAGGUGAUCUUUGCUUGAGAAGGGGAGUGUGCUGAGCAAUUCCAGAUUCUUUGUGUGAAUACAAGUACAGUGGAGGUGGUAGAAGCAGUCAUAACCUAUUACCUUGUUCUUUUCUAAGUCUGACUUACACUUCCAGUAUAGUAGCAUUUCAUUCCAAUACCUUGAGUACCUUUUGAAUCCCAAAAGCCAUACAGACCUGCAUUAGGUCUUGAUUCAAAAUAGUGCAUGGAUAGGUUGGUUUUUUUUUCUUUGGAUAUGUAUGUUUAAAUAGAUUCAAAUAAACUUAUUCACUAAAUUCUGAAAGCACAUUUUGUAUAGCUAAAAAUUUGGACUAAUCCAAUUUU